GUGAACAAUAUCAGUGGCUACCUUCCUGGUCGGAUUGUUUUCUUCUUGGUUAAUACCCACCUCACACCACGCCCCAUAUUACUUACUAGGCAUGGA
Molecule: long non-coding RNA, 96 nt
Organism: Neltuma alba
Lineage: Eukaryota; Viridiplantae; Streptophyta; Magnoliopsida; Fabales; Fabaceae
Exons: 2
Source: RefSeq, a predicted model, not a curated record